RNAcentral lists this unclassified non-coding RNA (1693 nucleotides) under Cyanidioschyzon merolae strain 10D. RNAcentral's name for it is "hypothetical transcript". The record is from RNAcentral. Lineage: Eukaryota; Rhodophyta; Bangiophyceae; Cyanidiales; Cyanidiaceae.
ACGAAUUGGAAUCCGCGUUGUAAGUAGAGGAUUUGUUUGUGAGAGGCUUCAUAGUAUUGCGAGAGUGCUUGAAAUGCUCGCAGCUCUGAAACGGUGAUACCGUUCGGAACACAUACUAGAAUGAGGUCGUGGUCGCGGAGUUGUGGGACGUUGGAGUUGGACGCCUGCGCUCCGCGUGACUCGCGUGGAAAGCCUAUGAUUUCAGCGAUCGCAGCGAGCGCGCUUCCUUUUCGUCGUGGGUGAAAACUCAGAUUCGUGUUGGCACCCUCGAGUGAGGCAAAUAAUAAGGCCGGCAGGGUCAAGACGCCCAUGCUUUGCGUCGCGUUUGCCGUGCCGCUCUGCACAGCCUCAACCAGUGUGCUAUUGAGCCAGUUUGUCCAAACGCUUGCAACAGCUUCAUAAUCCGGUCCAUUGUGGGCUGAAAUGCUGCUCAAUUCAAAGAGGCGAUCUACAAGCAGGUUUGCGGUGUCUCGUAUCCAGGCAUCCCCGGCUCGCGUCGCGGCAGCUUCAAUAGCCCCGGACAAGCGGGUACGCUCGGCCUCGGAUGCGUCCGCCUUCCAGUCCAGUACCGAGCACGUGUAUGCAAGGAACGGUAGCACCACUCGGUGGAGAUUCUGGUUUGAAAUGACAUCAAGGAGCUCGUCCAUGAUGUGAUGCAAUGAAAAGCCGGCAGAGGCCCAGUUCCGAGCCAGCUGGAGCAGCGACUGCAGUCUUUGUUCAUCGGUGCAUGCCGCCUCGACGCUGGGGUCUGCAUGCUGCUUCGUGUCCGCAUCCUGGAGCAUUGUCGCCGCGCACCAUAUCGCAGUGGCAGCGUAGAUGAAUAGGCCACUCUGGCGAACGCGCUGGCGAGGUUCCAGAGCAUCCCAGACGCUUUCGAUCAGCGUACGCAUCUGCUCAACCUGAUCUCCAAGACUUGCGGUUUUUUCCACUGAUGACGCAUUUGCAAUUUCCGUAUCUGGAUGAGACAUCGCACUGGGUACCGCUUGUGAAUUUUCUACGCCAACGCCAGCGGUGGAAACGCGCCCCAGACGUGUGGCGCCCAGUUUUCGGCGUGGCGGACGUGGCGGCCCUGCUAUCGAUGAACAACGGACAGUCUCUGCAGGCCGUGUGUGCACCGCCUUGUUGGCUAAGGUCUGCUGCGGCGUCGCCAAAAAAGAAAGCUGCUUCUUCACAAAGGAAAGAAACGCUGCCACAUCGUGCUGCCGCUCGAGCAACGCUUCGGUGAAUUCACCAGUCGAGAGAAGCGCCCUUGUCCCGGAAACACCCCCCAGCGGCGCAAUGAACCAGUCGAGAUCAGAGCCAGCAUCGGAUUCAGAAUAUAGAAACCGACGAGAUACCUUCUCCAAUACGUGUCCCUGCGACGCCAAUAGACAUCCGAACCAGUCAUGGAUCGCUGGAUCCAUGCCGUUCGCGUGUCGAACCGCUGACGCAACGUCCAACAGCCGAUCCAUAAACACUACACACAUGCGCACGGGGGUAGCACUCAAAUCCGACUCGAGGCGUUGAAGGUCAUCGAUCCGUAAUCCUUCGUAAUUCGCGAGUUCGAGGUCCGCCAUUUCCGAUUCUGCACAUUCUAAAGAUUCUACGAAGCGUUUCGCGAUAGCAUCUGCGACUGGAGCACGCCCGAGUACAAACGCUCCCGUGCACGAGCACUUCAACGCUGCGCAUAGAGCAGCGACUUCGCGUGACACCC